GAUGAACGCUGGCGGCGUGCCUAAUACAUGCAAGUCGAGCGAACAGACGAGGAGCUUGCUCCUCGGACGUUAGCGGCGGACGGGUGAGUAACACGUGGAUAACCUACCUAUAAUACGGGGAUAACUUCGGAAAACCGGAGCUAAUACCGGAGAAUAUAUUGAACCGCAUGGUUCAAUAGUGAAAGACGGUUUUUCCGUCACUUAUAGAUGGAUCCGCGCCGCAUCAGCUUGUUGGUGAAGUAACGGCUUACCAAGGCAACGAUGCGUAGCCGGCCAGAGAGGGUGACCGGCGACAUAGGGACUGAAAGACGGCCGAGACUCCUACGGGACGCAGCAGUGGGGAAUACUGCACAAUAAGCGGAAGCCUAAUGCAGCAACGCCGCGUGCGGAAUAACUGCCUUCGGGUUGAAAACCGCUUUCGCCUGUAACGAAGCACGAGUGACGGGAAUGGGUAAAGAAACACCGGCUAACUACGUG
This 477-nucleotide ribosomal RNA is filed under the name uncultured bacterium. Its description in RNAcentral is "partial 16S ribosomal RNA". It matches the Rfam family "Bacterial small subunit ribosomal RNA", at positions 28 to 507 of the family's 1533-position model. The record is from RNAcentral.